This is a long non-coding RNA of Lycium barbarum (goji berry), 1465 nucleotides long. RefSeq lists it as uncharacterized. The transcript has 3 exons. The record is from RefSeq and is a predicted model, not a curated record. NCBI's taxonomy places the organism in Eukaryota, Viridiplantae, Streptophyta, Magnoliopsida, Solanales, Solanaceae.
UUGGAACACUUCGAGAAAAUCAGCUCAAAAUCACGAGAAACUUCUCUACGAAUUUGAUAAUGACAAUCUAAUAAAAAAAAUAUGCGCCAAAUUCACCUUCAAAUUUGGAGCACUUCAACUAAAUCAACACAAAACGCCAGAAAGAACAAGUUUGGGGUUUUUGAGGCAAAUCGGUGAAGUUUUUUUCAGAUGGAGGAGAAGAUAUUAGAUGUCAAAAAAGGUGGGGUAGGUUUUAUUUCAAUGUGGCAGUCCAUGUCACCAAUUAAAUAAAUUUAAAAUGGGCAAAAAUAUGGCGUGGAGGUCUGUUAGUUUUUAAGGGUAGAUAUGACCCAUUUUAUUAACGGCAGGAGUAUAUUUGACCCUAUUUGCAAACGGAGGGUAAAAUUGACCCAUUUUUUAUAGUUGAAGGGUAAUUUUAACCUUUUUCCAUUUUUAAAACUUGUGUCCUAAAUCUUUAAAUAAAUAACUCAAAAGUCCCUUUUAAUUCCAUCCCCCAAGUAACCUAUGGUUAACUGAGCAAUGCGGACUGGGGGCUUGUAAACAUAAUUUUGGGACAAGGUAGGGGUUUUCGCAAUUUCAGUUAUAAGGUGUGUAACUAAUGUUUUCACGUUUUACUCUCCCUGUUUUAAAACUGUAAGGGCUCGUUUUGUUGGAAAUAACUUAUCCCAGAAUAACUAAUUCCGGCAUAAGUUAUUCCGAGAUUAGUUAUUCCACCCUCAAGGUGGGAUAAAAAAAUCACUCUAAUCCCGAGAUUAGUUAUCCCGAGUUUUUUUUUUCAACUAAACGUGAAAUAAGACGGUACUAAUUUUUAUCCCAGGACUAUUUUUGUCUAUCCAUCGUACCAAACGAGUCCUAAGUUGUAUAUUUGUUUAGGAUAGUCCUCUAACCGUUGACGGUGCUUGGUUAAAAAGCAAUUCCCUUUUUUUAACCCUAGACUAGAAGCUUUGGAUCUCAGUUUCGUGCAGCCGGUAACUGAAGAAUCGUUUUUUGGAGACCCUGUUCAAGGCAGAUGGGCGAUGAUGCCUCUAUUUGGAGGGUUUCCUAUGAGAAGGGCAGGCAGAUGAUCUGCCGCAGAUCCUCAAGUCCUUGAUUGCAAUUUGGAAGAUGACUAGGUUCCCAGGUCCAUUUGGUGUUGGUGCUACACAAUAUGUCGUAGCGGGCAAUGACUUUUGGUGGACGAGUUUUAGUUUCAUUGCCUUUUACAGUACGGUUGGUGCGGUUAUAUAUAUUUUCUAAAAUUAGUACAAUACUAUCCGCCGGAAGACAUGUUACAAAAAAACUAUAUGGUGCACUUAGUUGAAGGUUGAAUUAUUUACCUAGAGGUCUAGGGCAUCAAGCCCCCACUUAAUACAUAUUUUCCUUUCAAUUUUUUUUUUCCAGUGGUGAACCCAUAUUCCAGAAAUCUCAAAUUCGCCUCUGCCUACAUAUACUUAUAUAAUAGAUAAUUACGAUUUCGACUAUUCAA